UUUCAGUCUGAUGCCAUCAGUUAUUUCGUUUCCCCGACCCACUGAUGAACUACCCUCUACGAUUCCUCCUCGAAGCUCCGACUGCGAUUCCUUGGGCCCUCCUCCGACUGCGAUUCCUCCCUCGAAGCACCGCCCCUCAACAACUGAACUCCGCUAGUCCACUCGACAACUCCACUCCAGCAGUCGAAGCUCAUGCGUCAGCCCAUUCCCCGCUCCGGAGCCCCUGACCUCCUCGCUCUGUCGAAGCUAUCUGCUCGAUUUCUACCCUAGUUUUCCGUUGUAAUCAGGAAGUAAUGAUGCGAGGCAAACCGGGAUAUGAGCAUCUGAAUGAGCCGCUGCAUAUCUCGUUGAAGGCUGAAUUACAAGUUGAGAACAUUGAUGCCCGUUUGAUUCAAGCACGCGAUUUACUCUUGGAUCUGCUGACACCAAUGGACGAGUCCCAAGAUUUUUACAAGAAACAGCAGCUCCGGGAACUUGUAGUGCUUAACGGAACACUUCGUGAGGAAGGCUCUCCUAUGUCUGGUUCUGUUUCUCCGUAUUAGAACAGCCUUGGUAUGAAAAGGGCCAAAACCUUUUAUACCUGGCAGUGUCUAUUUGAAUUUGUUCUGGAAUUCCAUUUGUACGGUGGCGUAGACACGUGAUUAUAUUUGUUAUUUAAGGCAAUUCUUUGUUGUCUACGCCACCGUACUUCUUUCGAGCGAUUCCACUCUAAUGCGCAAAGAGAACUAUUUACUAAAAUUGGUAUUUGGGUUGAUGCAAAACUUCAUCU
Molecule: non-coding RNA, 769 nt
Organism: Punica granatum (pomegranate)
Lineage: Eukaryota; Viridiplantae; Streptophyta; Magnoliopsida; Myrtales; Lythraceae
Source: RefSeq, a predicted model, not a curated record